AUACCUCUUCUAUCCUACUUGGAGAAAAAUGGGCGCUACAUACAAAUUUCCUAUCACAAUCCUCUAAAGGGAUAUAACCUACUCUAUAUCUGAGUGGGAUUCACAUUUUACACAGAACACGCAGCUGAUAGCCGGUACAUAAUAAUCUAUUCUCUUUCUCUACCACUACUAGCUAUCAUAUCUAAUAACUGAGUAGAUGCGACAACGUUGCACUUACCUGGUCCUGUGGAUCGUAGUAAGCGUGAAACAAACAAAAUAAGGUACAAUCAGGCUAAGUCAGUCAGUACUCAGUCUGCUGUGCGCCAGUGAUACAGGAGGUUGGACAUACAUGACAACACAUUGAGUGGUUAAGUGACAAUAGUUUCUUUCGUUGCUGAUUCAACUUAAAAUCUAUCAUCAAAAUGGAAUCCUGGUUGGUUGAUGUAAAAAGGGUCAGGAUCCCACGUCCAAAGUUCGGAAGUAGCAGGUGUUACCCUGCGGAACCCCCUAAGGACUAUUUCUACGAGGACAACAGGCUGGACGAUCUCAAAAUGAAGACAUCCCACCAGAACACCGGCCUGGCCAAGGCAACCGAAGACCUCAGAAGGGCGUUCCAGGAAAAACUUUAACUAUCGAGAAAACAAACCACAAACAGUUCUUCUUCUUAAUCUUUCACAUUUUGACAUCGAUAGUAUCCAGGAGGCAAAAUGGAAGGGAGUCACAAACAUGUUCAACAUCAUUAGAUCCUCGUAAUUCAACGAAUAUCUAAAAGACUUCUCUGAUAUUCAGAGUCCAGACCUGCAUAUUGAGGGAAAAUUGUUGAAUUCCUCAUCCUCCUUCCAUACUUCAUUAAGGGUGACAACAAAAAACUGUGACUGAAUUUUUGUGGUCCUUUUGGAGUGUUACCUAUAUCCUAAGCCGUCGACAUACCUAUUCUGACAUGUCAAAUGUCAAUUUCUUAUUAAUUUAACCCUUGAUUACAGUUAGAUUGUUUGAAUAGCAUUUCAUUGUUGAAUUUUUAAGUAUUUGAAGUACAUUUCUUGAUUUUAAUGGAUAACGAAUUCAUUUAUUGAGUAUUUUGAUCAAUGCAUGUGAGACUGGAGAUUUUCAUACGGUCAAUUCUGAAAUAAUUUGGUUGAAUGGUCAGAUGAAAAAAAGCCGAUUUAUGCCUAUUAGACAGUACUUUCUCAUUGGUGAAGAAAUUAAUUAUAGUCCUUUUUAACUAUCACAGAUUUUUCUCGAAAUUCAUAAUAGAUUCUUAAUAUUUGGUCUCUUCACAGCAAAUUUCAAAAUUCAUAAUUUAUAAUGACUCCUCAUUCAUAAUUUCCUGAGUUCGUACUAAAUAAAUGAUAAACUCUAAUAACCUGCAUUGAUAUUCACUAUUUGUUCGACUUUUUUUGCUUAAUUUCUCGUUUUAUGCUUAUGCCUAAUAUUAUUUUCACGACCAAUUCCAUUGUCAUCGUAAUUAUUUAUAUGGUAGUUCUAAUUUUAGUGUACAUAACUGUGAUAUACGUAAUUAAGUAUGUUGUUACGUGCUGUUUUUAUGACAGUUUGAUACAGCAUAAUUUUUCUCGAAAUAAGAUAUCGUAUUUCUAGAUUAUUUUGGUGUGCUUUACAUCUGUGUACCGAAUAAUAAUAAAAGUUUUGAGAGUUA
This is a long non-coding RNA of Harmonia axyridis, 1633 nucleotides long. RefSeq lists it as uncharacterized. NCBI's taxonomy places the organism in Eukaryota, Metazoa, Arthropoda, Insecta, Coleoptera, Coccinellidae. The record is from RefSeq and is a predicted model, not a curated record. The transcript has 2 exons.